CCAAUGAGGAAGCAAACACGGCAAUAAACUCAGUACCUGCUGUUGACAAAAACCCUGUUGCAGAUUUUAUUGAACAAGGUGGAGAGAUUCCUCAGAAUAAUGAAUCUGAUACAUACCAUUUGUACGCCACCAUCCCUGAGGAGCCAGUUCCAUUAUUGCUGAUGGGUAUGGUUUAUAGCACUGUGGAGGCACACUGAAACAGAAACUUUUGUUCAAACAACACGGAAGCCCUUUGUUUGGGAAGGCCAUGUGUUAAAAACUGACUGCCACGUCAAGACAGUUUUGAAUUCACCAAGGUUCACCAAAUUAUAUACAAACAUUAAACAUUUUCUGUGUGAUGUUCAAGAUAUUUUUGUAAAAGUAAUUGUAAUGGUAAU
Oreochromis niloticus (Nile tilapia) is the source of this 377-nucleotide long non-coding RNA. RefSeq lists it as uncharacterized. The transcript is spliced from 3 exons. Lineage: Eukaryota; Metazoa; Chordata; Actinopteri; Cichliformes; Cichlidae. The record is from RefSeq and is a predicted model, not a curated record.